UGGGGAAUUUUGCGCAAUGGACGAAAGUCUGACGCAGCAACGCCGCGUGGGUGAUGAAGGUCUUCGGAUCGUAAAACCCUGUCGUCAGGGACGAAGGUAAUGUGCCUAAUACGCAUGUUGCUUGACGGUACCUGGAGAGGAAGCCCCGGCUAACUCUGUGCCAGCAGCCGCGGUAAUACAGAGGGGGCAAGCGUUAUUCGGAAUUAUUGGGCGUAAAGGGCGCGUAGGCGGUCUUUUAAGUCAGAUGUGCAAUCCCCGAGCUCAACUUGGGAACUGCAUCUGAGACUGGAAGACUCGAGUGCUGGAGAGGGUGGUAGAAUUCCACGUGUAGCGGUGAAAUGCGUAGAGAUGUGGAGGAAUACCAGUGGCGAAGGCGGCCACCUGGACAGUAACUGACGCUGAGGCGCGAAAGUGUGGGUAGCAAACA
RNAcentral lists this ribosomal RNA (427 nucleotides) under uncultured prokaryote. RNAcentral describes it as "bacterial SSU rRNA". It matches the Rfam family "Bacterial small subunit ribosomal RNA", at positions 355 to 774 of the family's 1533-position model. The record is from RNAcentral.